RNAcentral lists this ribosomal RNA (90 nucleotides) under Plasmodium falciparum 7G8. RNAcentral also lists the same sequence under 2 other names. Lineage: Eukaryota; Apicomplexa; Aconoidasida; Haemosporida; Plasmodiidae. The record is from RNAcentral.
UCGUUCAUACUACAGUGGCCACACCAGAUCCCAUCAGAACUCUGAAGUUAAGCACUGUAAGGCUUGGCUAGUACUGAGGUGGGAGACCGC